CGCCUCUUGUUAAAACAUAAGAGGUCCCGCCUGCCCAGUGACUCUGUUCAACGGCCGCGGUAUCCUAACCGUGCGAAGGUAGCGUAAUCACUUGUUCUUUAAAUGAGGACUAGUAUGAAUGGCACCACGAAGGUUAUACUGUCUCCUUUUUCCAAUCAGUGAAACUAAUCUCCCCGUGAAGAAGCGGGGAUAAAAAUAUAAGACGAGAAGACCCUAUGGAGCUUUAAACGACGUAACACCUGCUUUAACUUAGCCAACUUUCAGAAAAAUCUCUCCCACCCCUGCAGAAUGAUUAUCAGUUUUAGGUUGGGGUGACCGCGGAGCAUAGACCAACCUCCUCAUUGAAAGGAACCCACUCCUUAGCCAAGAGCUACACCUCCACGCACCAAUAAAAUGACAUUAAUUGACCCAAUAUAUUGAUCAACGAACCAAGUUACCCUAGGGAUAACAGCGCAAUCCACUUUAAGAGCCCCUAUCGACAAGUGGGUUUACGACCUCGAUGUUGGAUCAGGGUAUCCCGGUGGUGCAGCCGCUACCAAAGGUUCGUUUGUUCAACGAUUAAAACCCU
This 568-nucleotide ribosomal RNA is filed under the name Nymphargus chancas (Peru cochrane frog). RNAcentral's name for it is "partial 16S ribosomal RNA". It matches the Rfam family "Bacterial large subunit ribosomal RNA", at positions 1817 to 2597 of the family's 2925-position model. Lineage: Eukaryota; Metazoa; Chordata; Amphibia; Anura; Centrolenidae. The record is from RNAcentral.